This 2373-nucleotide long non-coding RNA is filed under the name Bos taurus (domestic cattle). RNAcentral describes it as "long non-coding RNA NONBTAT015927". Lineage: Eukaryota; Metazoa; Chordata; Mammalia; Artiodactyla; Bovidae. The record is from RNAcentral.
GAUAGUGCUUUUACUUGUGUGUGUGUUCUACAAAUUGAAGAUUUGUGGCAACCCCGCAUUGUCCGAUGAUGGUUAGCAUUUUUUAGCAACAAAGUACUUUUAAAGGAAGUACAAGUCCGUUCCUCUGAUGGUCAGAUGUUUGUGGUUCUUUGUAUUCAGUUUGACAGGGUUCUGGCAUCCAGUCACCACGAGACUGUAUAAGACUUCCAACCCCUCUUCUGCCAUUUUCUCUAUACAAUCCAGAAAGGGUACUUGCCUAGCCUAGCAGUUUGUUUUUAAAUGUUUUUUUCCUGAUUUCAGUCACUACUGUCUUGAGUGUUAACUGAACUCUCCUCAUGCCUGCAAAGACUCCCAUCUAAGCCAGGCCUGCUCUUCCAAACAAUAUAUCCAGACUCAGGAGUCUACCCUGAGUAUAAAAAAGGUAUAAAAAAGGACCAAGGCGCUCUGCUCCCUCGGAAGGGCUUAUUUCUCCCUGGAAGUCAGUUCAUGAAGAAGACUCUGCGUCCACUGUUCUUUGCUAGUUUCAUAGAAAAGUAUUAUUUUUCUUUUGUCUGGAUUUUUCUUAUUACUAUGGAAGUGAAAGUCUUGCAUCUUUCUACAUUCUAGCAAAAGAAGUUGUGCAGAUAUUUAUUACAAGUCAUGUAAAGUCCACUUGCAGCUUUAUGGCUUCCAUUCGCAGUUGUGGGACUCUUACUAACAGUGUGGUGGAGAGCAUACACAUAGUGUAGCCUUGGGCAAAGUCUCUUUACAUUUGUGGGCAUCUGUUCCCUUAUCUGUAAAUGGAAAUCAUAAUGGAUACCUUCUGUGGUGGUUUUAGGCAUCAAAUGAAAACGCUUUGGGAACUAGAAAGUGAAUAUGCCUGUAGGUUGUCGUGUCCUUAGGGAAGUCAUCUCACGUUUCCGGGCCUCCAUUUCCUUAUCUGUUCAAUAAUGGAGAUGCUGAAAUAGAUGUGCUGUAAGUUCCCACUCCAGUUUUCACUGAACAGCACACUGAUGCACCAGUGCCCAUGUUGAUAGACAUUUUGGGCACUUAGCAAUACUGACUUGAUAAUCGGAACUUUAAACUGGCUACUUUGUUAGCUACUGACAGGUGUCAGCCUUGUAAAUAGACUUGUUAAAUUAUAAAACAUGGCAUUAGGUAGACAGGUCAUAGACACUUCCAUGUAUUUGGUGUUUCUGCUUAUUAAACGUGUUUCUUUGACUCUUUUGAAGCUGUAAGCUCUUCCUUGGUUGUUUACUUUGAAUAUCCAAAGAUCUGGUACUUUAUAUAAUUUUUUUAAUAUAAUUUGAGGAUAAGAUGUGAGGUACAACCUCUUUAGUAGUUGAUGGAAUUAUCCUCUAUAAAUGUAGGUUCUUCUCAGUGAAUACAUUCAUAGAGGCUGUUCUUUUAACUAGCUUAAAAGACCAGAUCGGUAUUGGAGUUAUUUACUUGAGAGAAGGAAAUGGCAACCCACUCCAAUGUUCUUGCCUGGAGAAUCCCAUGGACAGAGAAGCCUGGUGGGCUGCAGUCCAUGGGGUCGCACAGAGUCGGACACGACUGAAGCGACUUAGCAGCAGCAGCAGCAGGCCAUUAUUGGGGCUACCCUCAUGGCUCAGAUGGUAAAAAAUCUGCCUGCAAUGCAGGAAACCUAGGUUCAAUCCCUGGGUCUGGAGGAGAAAUGGCAAAUCACUCCAGUAUUCUUGCCUGGAAAAUUCCUUGGACAGAGGAGCCUGGAGGUCCACAAUCCAUGGGCUGCAGAGAGAAGUGACUGAGCACAGACACACAGACCAUUAUUAUUUGAACUGAUCUGAACUGUACUUUUCAACUGUUUAUGGAAAGCAGGUUUAUGCAAUAAAUCAAGGUUUUUCUUUACCUCCCAUAAAGUGUAUAAUAUGUUUUAUGGCAUAUAAGAACUUUCACAAAAGUUAUUUAGUAAAAUAAGUGCGGAGCAGGUUUGAGUUUCUGAAACAAGCCAACCAUAUGGAAGAACUUUACCAAAUAAAGUCUGUAUUACUGAUGGCAGCAAUUACAAAUACAUGUUAUGACAUUUAAAAAGCUGUGCCCAUUUGUGGCUUAUGUAUUUGAGCGUAAUAAAAUUGUAUUAUUUUUUAAAAAACAUUCUGUAAUUUAGAUUUCUAAUUGAAAGUGGUCUUCCCUACAGUUAAUCCAAAUUAGUAAAUCUAUGGAAACGGUAAUAGCUUGGCAAGGAGGGGUGAGUACCUCAGUAACAAAAGAUAAGGCAUCGAAAAACCAUUUAAUAGAAGACUCACCUGUAAAAGAUUUGUUUCUCAGUUUGUCAAGACUUCUUUGCAUUAUCACUCUUGCCUAGCUCCAUAAAAAAAGUAUUUAUUUUGUCUGGGUUUUUUUUUUAUCAAAUAAAAAUGUCCAAACUCU